GUUCCCGUAGCUCAGCCGGAUAGAGCGCAGGAUUCCUAAUCUUGAGGCCGUGAGUUCGAAUCUCGCCGGGAACGCCA
This 77-nucleotide transfer RNA is filed under the name Sphingobacteriia bacterium 32-37-4. RNAcentral's name for it is "tRNA-Arg". It matches the Rfam family "tRNA". Rfam says of the family: Transfer RNA (tRNA) molecules are approximately 80 nucleotides in length. The record is from RNAcentral. Lineage: Bacteria; Pseudomonadati; Bacteroidota; Sphingobacteriia.